UACGUAGGCAGCGAGCGUUGUUCGGAAUUACUGGGCGUAAAGAGUGUGUAGGCGGUGUUCCAAGUCUGGUGUGAAAUCUCCCGGCUCAACUGGGAGGGUGCGCCGGAAACUGGAAUGCUAGAGGGUGGGAGAGGUAAGCGGAAUUCCUGGUGUAGCGGUGGAAUGCGCAGAUAUCAGGAGGAACACCGGUGGCGAAGGCGGGUCUCUGGGCAGUGAACUGGCGCUGGAGGAGCGAAAGCGUGGGGAGCGAACAGG
RNAcentral lists this ribosomal RNA (255 nucleotides) under uncultured bacterium. RNAcentral's name for it is "partial 16S ribosomal RNA". It matches the Rfam family "Bacterial small subunit ribosomal RNA", at positions 524 to 776 of the family's 1533-position model. The record is from RNAcentral.